RNAcentral lists this ribosomal RNA (460 nucleotides) under uncultured bacterium. Its description in RNAcentral is "partial 16S ribosomal RNA". It matches the Rfam family "Bacterial small subunit ribosomal RNA", at positions 338 to 795 of the family's 1533-position model. The record is from RNAcentral.
CCUACGGGUGGCAGCAGUGAGGAAUAUUGGUCAAUGGGCGCGAGCCUGAACCAGCCAAGUCGCGUGAGGGAUGAAGGUUCUAUGGAUCGUAAACCUCUUUUAUAAGGGAAUAAAGUGUGGGACGUGUCCUAUUUUGUAUGUACAUAUUGAAUAAGGAUGGGCUAACUACGUGCCAGCAGCCGCGGUAAUACGGAGGUUCCGAGCGUUAUCCGGAUUUAUUGGGUUUAAAGGGUGCGUAGGCGGCCUUUUAAGUUAGCGGUGAAAGUCUGUGGCGCAACCAUAGAAUUGCCGUUGAAACUGGGGGGCUUGAGUAUGUUUGAGGCAGGCGGAAUGCGUGGUGUAGCGGUGAAAUGCUUAGAUAUCACGCAGAACCCCGAUUGCGAAGGCAGCCUGCCAAGCCAUGACUGACGCUGAUGCACGAAAGCGUGGGGAUCAAACAGGAUUAGAUACCCUUGUAGUC